GAAAUGCGAUAAGUAGUGUGAAUUGCAGAAUUCAGUGAAUCAUCGAAUCUUUGAACGCACAUUGCGCCCGCCAGUAUUCUGGCGGGCAUGCCUGUCCGAGCGUCAUUUCAACCAUCAAGCCCCCGGGCUUGUGUUGGGGACCUGCGGCUGCCCGCAGGCCCUGAAAACCAGUGGCGGGCUCGCUGUCACACCGAGCGUAGUAGCAAUCACCUCGCUCAGGGCGUGCUGCGGGUUCCGGCCGUUAAACAGCCUUACAAAACCCAAGGUUGACCUCGGAUCAGGUAGGAAGACCCGCUGAACUUAAGC
RNAcentral lists this unclassified non-coding RNA (306 nucleotides) under plant metagenome. RNAcentral describes it as "partial contains 5.8S ribosomal RNA, internal transcribed spacer 2, and large subunit ribosomal RNA". The stretch from base 1 to 105 matches the Rfam family "5.8S ribosomal RNA", at positions 50 to 154 of the family's 154-position model. The record is from RNAcentral.